RNAcentral lists this ribosomal RNA (387 nucleotides) under marine Metazoa environmental sample. RNAcentral's name for it is "SSU rRNA". It matches the Rfam family "Eukaryotic small subunit ribosomal RNA", at positions 587 to 972 of the family's 1831-position model. Lineage: Eukaryota; Metazoa. The record is from RNAcentral.
AGCUCCAAUAGCGUAUAUUAAAGUUGUUGUGGUUAAAAAGCUCGUAGUUGGAUCUCGGGAGCAGGCGUGCGGUCCGCCUCGCGGCGGUAUCACUGCGCGCUCCUGCCCUACAUCUGCCGGACGUCCCCCGGUGCCCUUCGCUGGGUGCCGGGGGUGGCCGGGACGUUUACUUUGAAAAAAUUAGAGUGUUCAAAGCAGGCAUUUCGCCCUGAAUAAUGGUGCAUGGAAUAAUGGAAUAGGACCUCGGUUCUAUUUUGUUGGUUUCCGGAGCUCGAGGUAAUGAUUAAGAGGGACGGCCGGGGGCAUUUGUAUUGCGGCGUUAGAGGUGAAAUUCUUGGAUCGUCGCAAGACAGACCACAGCGAAAGCAUUUGCCAAGAAUGUUUUCA